RNAcentral lists this unclassified non-coding RNA (434 nucleotides) under Hevea brasiliensis (rubber tree). Lineage: Eukaryota; Viridiplantae; Streptophyta; Magnoliopsida; Malpighiales; Euphorbiaceae. The record is from RNAcentral.
AAAAAUCUACUAAAUUAAACCAUCAAAAACAGUCCUCUUAGAUAAAGACAAUAAAAAAUUUGUUCAUGCUUUGCUAGUUCACCAAUAAGGGAGUCGAUCAGAAAACAUCAGAAAGUGGAAAUCUAUAGGUUCAAGAUUCACAUCAAAUAUCAUAUGUUUCCUAAUCCGGAAUCACAGAUUUAUUAUCAAAACCAAAGCCAAGUUCUGUAAGCCUCAUUUUUCCUUGAAAGACAUCCAACAAUUGAGGCACCAGAUCCUGAUACUUGAUUACAAACCUUUCCAAGAAGCACUUUUCACAACUAGUCAAGACCGAGGAUAUAGGGAUAUCUGCCUUGAUCAAACCCUUUAAAAGCAAAACUCUUACGACUGAACAUCUAGGCAUAAUCCUUCUCUCCAAACUAUAAAAAAGAAUGUUUGGAACUCUAGCAACAGCA